This 433-nucleotide ribosomal RNA is filed under the name uncultured bacterium. Its description in RNAcentral is "partial 16S ribosomal RNA". It matches the Rfam family "Bacterial small subunit ribosomal RNA", at positions 29 to 507 of the family's 1533-position model. The record is from RNAcentral.
AACGAACGCUGGCGGCAUGCCUAACACAUGCAAGUCGAACGAGACCUUCGGGUUUAGUGGCGCACGGGUGCGUAACGCGUGGGAACCUGCCUUUAGGUUCGGAAUAACUCAGAGAAAUUUGAGCUAAUACCGGAUGAUGUCUUCGGACCAAAGAUUAAUCGCCUUUAGAUGGGCCCGCGUUGGAUUAGCUAGUUGGUGGGGUAAAGGCCUACCAAGGCGACGAUCCAUAGCUGGUCUGAGAGGAUGAUCAGCCACACUGGGACUGAGACACGGCCCAGACUCCUACGGGAGGCAGCAGUGGGGAAUAUUGGACAAUGGGCGAAAGCCUGAACCAGCAAUGCCGCGUGAGUGAUGAAGGUCUUAGGGUUGUAAAGCUCUUUUACCCGAGAUGAUAAUGACGGUAUCGGGAGAAUAAGCUCCGGCUAACUCCGUG